GGCCGAUCCAAAGGUAGUGGGUUAUCUCAAUCGAUUGUUCGGUCAGUUACAGAUUGAUCUCGUUCUCUCUUUCCCCCCUUCCCAAUACUGCACUUGACUGGUCUUUG
This 107-nucleotide Y RNA is filed under the name Tauraco erythrolophus (red-crested turaco). It matches the Rfam family "Y RNA". Rfam says of the family: Y RNAs are components of the Ro ribonucleoprotein particle (Ro RNP), in association with Ro60 and La proteins. Lineage: Eukaryota; Metazoa; Chordata; Aves; Musophagiformes; Musophagidae. The record is from Rfam by way of RNAcentral.